RNAcentral lists this ribosomal RNA (253 nucleotides) under uncultured bacterium. Its description in RNAcentral is "partial 16S ribosomal RNA". It matches the Rfam family "Bacterial small subunit ribosomal RNA", at positions 524 to 776 of the family's 1533-position model. The record is from RNAcentral.
UACGGAGGGUGCGAGCGUUGUCCGGAAUCAUUGGGCGUAAAGGGCGCGUAGGUGGCGGCUUAAGCGUGCGGUGAAAGCUCGGGGCUCAACCCCGAGUCGGCCGUGCGAACUGAGUCGCUUGAGCACUGUAGAGGCAGGCGGAAUUCCUGGUGUAGCGGUGAAAUGCGCAGAUAUCAGGAAGAACACCCGUGGCUAAGGCGGCUCUCUAGUACGGUACUGACGCUGAGACGCGAAAGCGUGGGGAGCGAACAGG